GCAGAGUAGGAUACGGCGCGUAUGAGUGCCUUGAGGAUGGGAAGUUGCCUCGGGACGAAGAGCAGCCCAACGAGACUGCCGCGGUGCCGUACCCGCGUCCGCUGC
This 105-nucleotide non-coding RNA is filed under the name human gut metagenome. RNAcentral's name for it is "THF riboswitch". It matches the Rfam family "THF (Tetrahydrofolate) riboswitch aptamer". From Rfam's summary of the family: THF riboswitch presents a pseudoknot that joins P1-P2 and the loop of P3 and two THF binding. The record is from RNAcentral.